AUUGAACGCUGGCGGCAGGCCUAACACAUGCAAGUCGAACGGUAACAGGAAGAAGCUUGCUUCUUUGCUGACGAGUGGCGGACGGGUGAGUAAUGUCUGGGAAACUGCCUGAUGGAGGGGGAUAACUACUGGAAACGGUAGCUAAUACCGCAUAACGUCGCAAGACCAAAAAGGGGGACCUUCGGGCCUCUUGCCAUCGGAUGUGCCCAGAUGGGAUUAGCUAGUAGGUGGGGUAACGGCUCACCUAGGCGACGAUCCCUAGCUGGUCUGAGAGGAUGACCAGCCACACUGGAACUGAGACACGGUCCAGACUCCUACGGGAGGCAGCAGUGGGGAAUACUGCACAAUGGGCGCAAGCCUGAUGCAGCCAUGCCGCGUGUAUGAAGAAGGCCUUCGGGUUGUAAAGUACUUUCAGCGGGGAGGAAGGGAGUAAAGUUAAUACCUUUGCUCAUUGACGUUACCCGCAGAAGAAGCACCGGCUAACUCCGUG
RNAcentral lists this ribosomal RNA (490 nucleotides) under uncultured bacterium. RNAcentral's name for it is "partial 16S ribosomal RNA". It matches the Rfam family "Bacterial small subunit ribosomal RNA", at positions 30 to 507 of the family's 1533-position model. The record is from RNAcentral.